CGUGCCCAGAGGUAGGGGAUAACGCAGCGAAAGCUGUGCUAAUACCGCAUGUGAUCUGAGGAUGAAAGCGGGGGACCAAGCAGCAAUGUUUGGCCUCGCGCCUCUGGAGCGGCCGAUGUCAGAUUAGGUAGUUGGUGGGGUAAAGGCCUACCAAGCCGACGAUCUGUAGCUGGUCUGAGAGGACGACCAGCCACACUGGGACUGAGACACGGCCCAG
RNAcentral lists this ribosomal RNA (217 nucleotides) under uncultured bacterium. RNAcentral describes it as "partial 16S ribosomal RNA". It matches the Rfam family "Bacterial small subunit ribosomal RNA", at positions 125 to 334 of the family's 1533-position model. The record is from RNAcentral.